Molecule: long non-coding RNA, 825 nt
Filed under: Mustela putorius furo (domestic ferret)
Lineage: Eukaryota; Metazoa; Chordata; Mammalia; Carnivora; Mustelidae
Description: lncRNA (ENSMPUG00000025860.1)
Source: RNAcentral
GAAAAUACUGGGCCAGAAUGAAGAGCGGGAGCCACACGGCCCAGCCCCCGCGGUCCAGCCGUGGAGUCUCGGGCCGGGGAACACUGGUGUGGUCAGUGCCAACUGCCUAACCCUUCCUUAGAUGGUGCUGAGGAAGGCGCUGCCCAGAAAGAUCCUCACAGGGAGGUGGAGGGGACGCGACAACACGGGAGGCCAGCCACAUUCUGAGAAGAGCGGAAAAGAGAAUUGUGAAACUCCCUAAUGGCCCACUACAGAAAAGAGGGAUUUGCUUUUCUAAUGCCACAGAAUCGCAUCCGGAAAACACUAAUUUUUUAAUUCAGAUUUAUUUAUGAUCACAAAGGAAAGGCAUGUUGAUUUCUCAUUCUCUGGUGAAGUGUUUUUGAUGGUGGGAUUUUUUUUUAAAAAAGAUAAUAUGUCAUUUAUUAAGCUUCGCAUAGAAAAAUGACUAUUUUUUUUUCAUGUUUAUUUGGAAAAGGCUGUUUUCUUUCUCAAGAGGUUUUUACCAAACUAAAAUCAGAAUCCAGCCACGGAGGAAAACAAAAGCAUUUGACAUUCAUCACUACUUGUUGAGUACCCACAGGACCCAGGGCAUGGCUGGCACUGCUGCAGCUAAAGAACACGGCAAAGCUGCUACCCAGCCGUCAAAAUGAAGAGAACGGGGUUUAUUCAUCAGCUGACUUCAAGAAAAACAGUACAGUGAUGUCCUGUUCAACUGGAAUUACUGUCCUACGAAAGACUGAGACUGAAACCAAAGGAGAGGGUAGCAACAGGAAAACGGUAAAAUGAUGAUUACCAUCUUUUUAAAAACCCACAGGAGGUGACAGC